Molecule: long non-coding RNA, 1639 nt
Organism: Phalaenopsis equestris
Lineage: Eukaryota; Viridiplantae; Streptophyta; Magnoliopsida; Asparagales; Orchidaceae
Exons: 6
Source: RefSeq, a predicted model, not a curated record
UGAUGUCCGGCCCAGAUGAUUGACCCAUGAAUUUAAUUGCCUUCAAGAGGGAAAAUUAUUUUUCCAUCAAAGAUGACCCAGCUGUAAACUACGGUCGCACCUGAUGAAAUUUUCCCUUCAAGAGGCGCAUUUCGUCGGUCUCACCAUCCACCUGCGCGAACCUUUGGCCUGCACAUCCACUGGCCGCGAACCGACGAAGGCCUAGCAGAGCCCUAACCGAAGCGAUGAAGGCUGCCGUUGACGACUGUACGGAAUAAAUUAUCAAAAAAUGAGCUCAAGUUACUCAACAAGUUUGAAAGACACGAAACAUCUGCAAAUAUACUGUGAUUGCAACCUGAUACUUAAUGUUUUCACGGUGCAGAAAGGUGGUAACUCUAGGAGAAAGUUCUAUCGAUGCCCCAUAAAUCGAUCAAGGAAAGAUUGCAACUAUUUCCAAUGGGUCGACGAAGCUCGUGACACAACAUUUCAACAACGUGAAUGCGUGAUGAAGAAGGAAUUGAAGUUGAAGAUAUUUUAAUAUUUAGGACGUUUAAGCCCCUCAUUUCCUGAGAUGGCAAGUUCUCAGCCUUCCGAGAGACCUUACAUUCAAGGUACUUUGGGGAACACAUAUUAGAGGCUGAAGAAGGCCAUUAGUAAUGCUGAUAGGUCCAACAUUCAUGCAGCCACUCCGGUGACCCCUUCUAUUGCCCCUCCUCCCACACCAGGUCCCUCGCAUGCACUACAUUCCACUUCACUUUAUUUCCGUCUAGUAUUCUUAUUUAAUGAGCUUGGCCCCUCGACUCCAGCACCUAAGAUGGCUGACACCGCAGACAGUCUUUAUUGAGCCGGAGGGUGAUUUGUUCUACCCCUCAGGCCGUCCGUGACCCGGAUCACGGAGAUCAUCUGGAGCAGGUAUGAGCAACUAUAUCUCUCAUGAAAGCAGAUCCCGAUGGCCACUCAGAAUAUGUACUUUAGGGAGUUUGAGAGGUCUUUUUACUGUUUGCGGGAACAUCACCAACAUAUCCAAAAGAUUUUUGAGGUUUGUGCCAGGCAUAGACUUGGGGAUAUGUUCCCGAAAGCACGUAAGAAGGGGUAGAGGCCCUUCUGGUUUGGGGAGGAAGCUUGACCUGAGUUAAAUUGAGCAUGGGCUUGUCCGGAGUACUAGUGCAAGAGACAGACAAAUCAGUAGAACCUGAUGACGGAGGGAGCCAGAGGGGUUGCACUCCACAUUGGAGGUUUGAUCCCCCAUACGAAGCACUAUCAGAGGCUGGAGUGCGAGCAGCUCGGGGAGAGAUAGGGGGAGAUGACUAGCCAGACCUCACCGUCUGCUAGCAGUAGUAGCCAGUCUACCACUGCUCAGUCCGAUUUUGAGUUGUGGACGUAGAAGACGGGGAGGAAGAAAAGGAGAGUGUACUGCCUAAAAGCAACAAGGGUGGUGUUUGAGGUUUAGCGUUCCCGUGUAGUUGUGGGUGGCCCUAGCUCGUUACAGGCUCAACAUAAGGAGCUUACUAGAUGGGUGAUGAUGAUAAAUGAAUAGCUCCGAUAGGUGCGUGAAGACUAGUAACUCGUUGCAAAUAGUCUAGCACACCUAGCAGAGAGUUUUGAUCAUCGGAGCAAGCGACAUAUGCAUUCGGUCGAGGAGUAUGAGGUGGAGGAGGAU